This 280-nucleotide long non-coding RNA is filed under the name Elaeis guineensis (African oil palm). Its description in RNAcentral is "long non-coding RNA (EGUI_LNC061208)". The record is from RNAcentral. Lineage: Eukaryota; Viridiplantae; Streptophyta; Magnoliopsida; Arecales; Arecaceae.
GGCCAUCUGUUCCAAUCUUUUUUUUGAAGACUCAUUUGUAGCCUAUUGGGGUCACACCCUCAGAUGCAUCUAUCAAAGUCCAUACUUGGUUGACAUACAUAGAGUCCAUUUCGGAUUUCAUGAUAUUGAGCCACUUGUCAGAGUCACUACUCAUGACAACUUUCGAAUAGGUCGUGGGAUCAUCAUUCUCAAUGAUAUGGUUUGUAUUGUCAUUCUCAAUGACAAACCCAUACCUGAAUGGUAUAUUAUGAACUCUACUCAAUCUUCAAAAAGAGGUGUG